CGGGCGUCGCGGCCGCCUGCGGCAUCAGCAUUCCGGCGGCGCGGGUCUGAGGUCGGGGAGGCUGUGAGGGAUCCUCCACGCCCAGCAGACGUGGAAGGAGCCGACGUUCUUACGGGAGAUGGACAGACGGUCAGCAUGUGAAUAGUCCCCUGCAUGCAGGUGAGGACUGGGGCAGUGCAGAGCCGCAGCAGGGAUGGGCUAUGCCGGUCGGGGCAGGUCGGGCAGGAGCCUGGCAUCUGUGGCUGACUGUUUGGCCCCUCAAGGCCUGUUUUGCUCACAGUUUUGCUUCCUCCUUGCUCUCUGUUUUCCCUGCCACCUGAACUUGGUUGCAUGCUGCUUUCUGUCCAUUGCCCUCAGCCUCUCACCUCAGUCAUGACCCUUAAGCCAGCACCUCCCCCAUGCGUCUUACUCUGAGGUUUCCCAGGAGCAUGAGCCUCCUCCAGUGUCAUUGCGGCUGCUUUGAUCUCCUUAAUGGUUUUGCUUGAGUGUGGAUUCAUAUUCAGACUCUUUUAGGGACACAAAGACCCCCAAAGUGGAUGAAUGCCCUAUGGAGGCAGAUGCCCAGUUGGGGGCCCGAGGUCUGGCUGGCCUGUCCUCCCU
Molecule: long non-coding RNA, 600 nt
Filed under: Homo sapiens (human)
Lineage: Eukaryota; Metazoa; Chordata; Mammalia; Primates; Hominidae
Description: HSALNT0216134
Source: RNAcentral